GAAGCUUUGGGAAUGAAAUCAGGCCUUUUAUGGUCACCCAUGCAGAUGGAACUGGGUUAGUAGCCUCCCCCUUCUUUUGCCUUUGGGAAGCUCUGAGAGAAAGGCCAAGCACUACCCCAGGAGGUGCCACCUUGAGAAGGUGGGUGAGUUACCAGCAAGGUGGGUCUCCAGUGAAGCUUGAGAAGCAGCCAAAGUGAUAUUUCUGCCUCCUUUCUACCUCUGUGGCUUGCCUGGAAUUUGGGAAUGACUCAUGGCCAGCAGUUAUGAGUGCAAGGAGCAGAGGUGAAGUAAGGCUAGGAAGAAACUCUCCUCGCGGCCAUGUCCAGGUGAACGCCAUCCUACUUC
RNAcentral lists this RNase P RNA (345 nucleotides) under Varanus komodoensis (Komodo dragon). RNAcentral describes it as "Nuclear RNase P (ENSVKKG00000014835.1)". It matches the Rfam family "Nuclear RNase P". From Rfam's summary of the family: Ribonuclease P (RNase P) is a ubiquitous endoribonuclease, found in archaea, bacteria and eukarya as well as chloroplasts and mitochondria. The record is from RNAcentral. Lineage: Eukaryota; Metazoa; Chordata; Lepidosauria; Squamata; Varanidae.